RNAcentral lists this ribosomal RNA (253 nucleotides) under uncultured bacterium. RNAcentral's name for it is "partial 16S ribosomal RNA". It matches the Rfam family "Bacterial small subunit ribosomal RNA", at positions 524 to 776 of the family's 1533-position model. The record is from RNAcentral.
UACGAAGGGGGCUAGCGUUGCUCGGAAUUACUGGGCGUAAAGCGCGCGCAGGCGGCUAUCCAAGUCAGUGGUGAAAGCCCGGAGCUCAACUCCGGAACUGCCAUUGAAACUGUUUAGCUUGAGGACGAGAGAGGUGAGUGGAAUUCCCAGUGUAGCGGUGAAAUGCGUAGAUAUUGGGAGGAACACCAGUGGCGAAGGCGGCUCACUGGACCGGUUCUGACGCUGAGGCGCGAAAGCGUGGGGAGCGAACAGG